This 449-nucleotide unclassified non-coding RNA is filed under the name Hevea brasiliensis (rubber tree). Lineage: Eukaryota; Viridiplantae; Streptophyta; Magnoliopsida; Malpighiales; Euphorbiaceae. The record is from RNAcentral.
CAGGCAUUUGAUUGCAUGUGAUUCCAUGGAAAAUUCAAAAUCAGUGAACAAGGAGGACGUGAUUCCUGAAGAAGCGAAGGUGAAAUUGAAGAAAUUGGCGUCAGAAUGGGACGAUAUAGUGGAUCCGAAUGCAUUAGAUGUGUUCAGAUUGAAGGGCGCGAUGACGAACGAGGUGUAUCAAAUCAAAUGGCCCAGUAAGAACCCGGAAAAGCAACGAUCUAGGAAGGUGUUGGUGAGGAUCUAUGGGAAAGGUGUUGAUGUGUUCUUUGAUCGGCAGAAUGAAAUUAAGAUUUUUGAGUUUAUGUCUAAGCAAGGCCAAGGACCUCGCUUGCUUGGUCGAUUUCAGAGUGGUCGUAUUGAGGAAUUCAUUCGAGCUCGGACAUUAUCAGCUCCUGAUCUGCGUGAUCCAGAGAUAUCUUCCUUGAUAGCUGCCAAAAUGAGAGAAUUUC